This 162-nucleotide small nuclear RNA is filed under the name Microtus ochrogaster (prairie vole). RNAcentral describes it as "U1 spliceosomal RNA (ENSMOCG00000003284.1)". Lineage: Eukaryota; Metazoa; Chordata; Mammalia; Rodentia; Cricetidae. The record is from RNAcentral.
AUUCUUAGCUUGGAGGGGAGACACCUGAUCAAAGGUAGUUUUCUCAAGGUAAGGCUUAUCUUUUGCCUGUUGACUCUGCCAGCCCCUACAGCAUCCCCCAUGUGGGAAACUCAACUUUAGAAUCUGUGCUAGUGAGGGAAGGAUGGUGCUCAUGCUUCUUAC